UUGAAAGGGAAACGAUUGAAGUCAGUCGUACCUAUGGGUAAUCAGCCUUUUGGGUGUGAUUUUGUGGAGCGUGAUGAGUUAAACGCCUUCAUGCCUGCAUAUUCGUGCACUUUGGGUGUACUUGCCCGUGUGUAAGUUAACAUCAAUUUUGGUGGUCAUAAAAUGGCUGGAGGAAUGUAGCUUCGAUCUUGUAUUGAAGUGUUAUAGCCUUCGGUAGAUGUGACGAUCGGGAUUGAGGAUUGCAACGGAUACCCUUCGGGGCUACCUGUCUGAUCUCUGAUUGUUGCUCUGGUGCCGAAAGCUUGCUUACGGUUAUUAAAGUCGAUGGUCAAUAGGUUAGAAUGGGUUAAAUUCGUUAAGGAUGUUGACGUA
This 372-nucleotide ribosomal RNA is filed under the name uncultured Glomeromycotina. RNAcentral describes it as "LSU rRNA". The record is from RNAcentral. Lineage: Eukaryota; Fungi; Glomeromycota.